Molecule: ribosomal RNA, 600 nt
Filed under: uncultured bacterium
Lineage: Bacteria
Description: bacterial SSU rRNA
Rfam family: Bacterial small subunit ribosomal RNA
Source: RNAcentral
CUGCUAAUACCGCAUAAGCCCACAGCUCGGCAUCGAGCAGAGGGAAAAGGAGUGAUCCGCUNUGAGAUGGCCUCGCGUCCGAUUAGCUAGUUGGUGAGGUAACGGCCCACCAAGGCGACGAUCGGUAGCCGGACUGAGAGGUUGAACGGCCACAUUGGGACUGAGACACGGCCCAGACUCCUACGGGAGGCAGCAGUGGGGAAUAUUGCACAAUGGGGGAAACCCUGAUGCAGCGACGCCGCGUGGAGGAAGAAGGUCUUCGGAUUGUAAACUCCUGUUGUUGAGGAAGAUAAUGACGGUACUCAACAAGGAAGUGACGGCUAACUACGUGCCAGCAGCCGCGGUAAAACGUAGGUCACAAGCGUUGUCCGGAAUUACUGGGUGUAAAGGGAGCGCAGGCGGGAAAGCAAGUUGGAAGUGAAAUCCAUGGGCUCAACCCAUGAACUGCUUUCAAAACUGUUUUUCUUGAGUAGUGCAGAGGUAGGCGGAAUUCCCGGUGUAGCGGUGGAAUGCGUAGAUAUCGGGAGGAACACCAGUGGCGAAGGCGGCCUACUGGGCACCAACUGACGCUGAGGCUCGAAAGUGUGGGUAGCAAACAGG